RNAcentral lists this ribosomal RNA (479 nucleotides) under uncultured bacterium. RNAcentral describes it as "partial 16S ribosomal RNA". It matches the Rfam family "Bacterial small subunit ribosomal RNA", at positions 28 to 507 of the family's 1533-position model. The record is from RNAcentral.
GAUGAAUGCUAGCGGGAGGCCUAACACAUGCAAGCCGAGCGGUAGAGUUUCUUCGGAAACUUGAGAGCGGCGCACGGGUGCGUAACACGUGUGCAACCUACCUUUAUCUGGGGGAUAGCCUUUCGAAAGGAAGAUUAAUACCCCAUAAUAUAAUGAUUGGCAUCAAUUAUUAUUGAAAACUCCGGUGGAUAGAGAUGGGCACGCGCAAGAUUAGAUAGUUGGUGAGGUAACGGCUCACCAAGUCAAUGAUCUUUAGGGGUCCUGAGAGGGAGAUCCCCCACACUGGUACUGAGACACGGACCAGACUCCUACGGGAGGCAGCAGUGAGGAAUAUUGGACAAUGGGUGAGAGCCUGAUCCAGCCAUCCCGCGUGAAGGAUGACGGUCCUAUGGAUUGUAAACUUCUUUUGUACAGGGAUAAACCUACCCUCGUGAGGGUAGCUGAAGGUACUGUACGAAUAAGCACCGGCUAACUCCGUG